GAUGAACGCUGGCGGCGUGCCUAAUACAUGCAAGUCGAGCGAACAGAUGAUGCGCUUGCUCCUCUGACGUUAGCGGCGGACGGGUGAGUAACACGUGUAUAACCUACCUAUCAGACUGGGAUAACUUCGGGAAACCGGAGCUAAUCCCGUAUAAUAUCUUGCUCCGCAUGGUUCAAUAGUGAAAUUCGGUUUUUCUGUCACUUAUCGAUGGAUCCGCGCCGCAUUAGCUAGUUGGUAAGUUAACGGCUUUCCAAGGCAACGAUGCGUAGCCGACCUGAGAGGGGGAUCGGCGACAUGGGAACUGAGACAGGGACCAGACUACUACGGGAGGGAGCAGUAGGGAAUCGUCCGCAAUGGGCGAAAGCUUGACGGAGCAAGGCCGCGUGAGUGAUGAAGGUCUUCGGAGCGGAAAACUCGGUUAUGAGGGAAGAACAAAUGUGGAAGUAACUAUGCACGUCUUGACGGUACCUAAUCAGAAAGCCACGGCUAACUACGUG
This 497-nucleotide ribosomal RNA is filed under the name uncultured bacterium. RNAcentral's name for it is "partial 16S ribosomal RNA". It matches the Rfam family "Bacterial small subunit ribosomal RNA", at positions 28 to 507 of the family's 1533-position model. The record is from RNAcentral.